RNAcentral lists this ribosomal RNA (465 nucleotides) under uncultured bacterium. Its description in RNAcentral is "partial 16S ribosomal RNA". It matches the Rfam family "Bacterial small subunit ribosomal RNA", at positions 28 to 507 of the family's 1533-position model. The record is from RNAcentral.
GAUGAACGCUGGCGGCGUGCUUAACACAUGCAAGUCGAACGGAAAGGCUCCUGCUUGCAGGGGUACUCGAGUGGCGAACGGGUGAGUAACACGUGGGUGAUCUGCCCUGCACUUCGGGAUAAGCCUGGGAAACUGGGUCUAAUACCGGAUAGGACCACAUUUUGGAUGGUGUGGUGGAAAGUUUUUCGGUGUGGGAUGAGCUCGCGGCCUAUCAGCUUGUUGGUGGGGUAAUGGCCUACCAAGGCGGCGACGGGUAGCCGGCCUGAGAGGGUGUACGGCCACAUUGGGACUGAGAUACGGCCCAGACUCCUACGGGAGGCAGCAGUGGGGAAUAUUGCACAAUGGGCGCAAGCCUGAUGCAGCGACGCCGCGUGGGGGAUGACGGCCUUCGGGUUGUAAACUCCUUUCGCUAGGGACGAAGCGCAAGUGACGGUACCUGGAGAAGAAGCACCGGCUAACUACGUG